GAUUAAGUGUCGUAAGGGCAUUUGGUGGAUGCCUUGGCAUGCACAGGCGAUGAAGGACGUGAUACGCUGCGAUAAGCCGUGGGGAGCUGCGAAUGAGCUUUGAUCCGCGGAUUUCCGAAUGGGGAAACCCACCUUCGAUCUCUGUUAUUCCAAGGACAGGAUUUCGGUUCUGUCUUUGAGCUAACAGAGAUCAUGAGAAGGUAUUGAACUCUGAAUACAUAGGGGUUCAAAGCUAACCCAGGGAACUGAAACAUCUAAGUACCUGGAGGAAAGGACAUCAACGAGACUCCGUUAGUAGUGGCGAGCGAACGCGGACCAGGCCAGUGCCUGACUGUAAGUUACCGGAAGCGGUUGGGAAGCCGCGCAUUAAUGGGUGAUAGCCCCGUACGGAUCUGCGAACAGUUGGGACAUGAGUAAGGCGGGGCACGUGAAAUCCUGUCUGAACGUGGGGGGACCACCC
This 460-nucleotide ribosomal RNA is filed under the name Niabella sp. Its description in RNAcentral is "partial 23S ribosomal RNA". It matches the Rfam family "Bacterial large subunit ribosomal RNA", at positions 1 to 458 of the family's 2925-position model. The record is from RNAcentral. Lineage: Bacteria; Pseudomonadati; Bacteroidota; Chitinophagia; Chitinophagales; Chitinophagaceae.